Molecule: small RNA, 876 nt
Filed under: Pan troglodytes (chimpanzee)
Lineage: Eukaryota; Metazoa; Chordata; Mammalia; Primates; Hominidae
Description: processed transcript
Source: RNAcentral
AGUUUCCGGUGUCUCUGCAAUGGCGGCUCUAGACUCCCUGUCGCUCUUCACUAGCCUCGGCCUGAGCGAGCAGAAGGCCCGUGAGACGCUCAAGAACUCGGCUCUGAGCGCGCAGCUGCGCGAGGCCGCUACUCAGGCUCAGCAGACCCUGGGUUCCACCAUUGACAAAGCUACCGGGAUCCUGUUAUAUGGCUUGGCCUCCCGACUCAGGGAUACCCGGCGUCUCUCCUUCCUUGUAAGCUACAUAGCCAGUAAGAAGAUCCACACUGAGCCCCAGCUAAGCGCUGCCCUUGAGUAUGUGCGGAGUCACCCCUUGGACCCCAUCGACACUGUGGACUUCGAGCGGGAAUGUGGCGUGGGUGUCAUUGUGACCCCAGAGCAGAUUGAGGAGGCUGUGGAGGCUGCUAUUAACAGGCACCGGCCCCAGCUCCUGGUGGAACGUUACCAUUUCAACAUGGGGCUGCUGAUGGGAGAGGCUCGGGCUGUGCUGAAGUGGGCAGAUGGCAAAAUGAUCAAGAAUGAAGUGGACAUGCAGGUCCUCCACCUUCUGGGCCCCAAGAUGGAGGCUGAUCUGGAGAAGAAGUUCAAGGUGGCAAAAGCUCGGCUAGAAGAAACAGACCGGAGGACGGCAAAGGAUGUGAUGGAGAAUGGCGAGACUGCUGACCAGACCCUGUCUCUGAUUGAGCAGCUCCGGGGGGAGGCCCUUAAGUUCCACAAGCCUGGUACGUACCCGGUUCCCGCCAGAACCCAAUGGAAUCCUGCAUAUUGGACAUGCCAAAGCCAUCAAUUUCAACUUCGGCUAUGCCAAGGCCAACAAUGGCAUCUGUUUUCUGCGUUUUGAUGACACCAACCCUGAGAAGGAGGAAGCAAAGUUCU